This 519-nucleotide ribosomal RNA is filed under the name uncultured Glomeromycotina. Its description in RNAcentral is "SSU rRNA". It matches the Rfam family "Eukaryotic small subunit ribosomal RNA", at positions 569 to 1092 of the family's 1831-position model. The record is from RNAcentral. Lineage: Eukaryota; Fungi; Glomeromycota.
AGCAGCCGCGGUAAUUCCAGCUCCAAUAGCGUAUAUUAAAGUUGUUGCAGUUAAAAAGCUCGUAGUUGAAUUUUGGAUUCUGCCAGUUGGUCCAUCUUUUGAUGAGUACUGAUUGUGUGGGGUCUAUCCGCCUGGUGAUACGUAAUGUACUUUAUUGUAUGUUGCGGGUAGUCAGGACCUUUACCUUGAAAAAUUAGAGUGUUUAAAGCAGGCUUAUGCCGGAAUACAUUAGCAUGGAAUAAUAGAAUAGGACGAUGUUGUUUUAUUUUGUUGGUUUCUAGGACAACCGUAAUGAUUAAUAGGGAUAGUUGGGGGCAUUAGUAUUCAAUUGUCAGAGGUGAAAUUCUUGGAUUUAUUGAAGACUAACUACUGCGAAAGCAUUUGCCAAGGAUGUUUUCAUUAAUCAAGAACGAAAGUUAGGGGAUCGAAGACGAUCAGAUACCGUCGUAGUCUUAACCAUAAACUAUACCGACUAGGGAUCGGGCGAUGUUGUUUCAAUGACUCGCUCGGCACCUUAUA